AGUGAACGCUGGCGGUAGGCCUAACACAUGCAAGUCGAACGGCAGCACAGUAAGAGCUUGCUCUUACGGGUGGCGAGUGGCGGACGGGUGAGGAAUACAUCGGAAUCUACUUUUUCGUGGGGGAUAACGUAGGGAAACUUACGCUAAUACCGCAUACGACCUACGGGUGAAAGCAGGGGAUCUUCGGACCUUGCGCGAUUGAAUGAGCCGAUGUCGGAUUAGCUAGUUGGCGGGGUAAAGGCCCACCAAGGCGACGAUCCGUAGCUGGUCUGAGAGGAUGAGAAGCGAGAUGGGAGAGGAGACACGGUCCAGACUACUACGGGAGGCAGCAGUGGGGAAUAGUGGACAAUGGGCGCAAGCUUGAGCCAGCCAUACCGCGUGGGUGAAGAAGGCCUUCGGGUUGUAAAGACCUUUUGUUGGGAAAGAAAAGCAGCAGGUUAAUACCCCGCUGUUCUGACGGUACCCAAAGAAGAAGCACCGGCUAACUUCGUG
RNAcentral lists this ribosomal RNA (492 nucleotides) under uncultured bacterium. RNAcentral's name for it is "partial 16S ribosomal RNA". It matches the Rfam family "Bacterial small subunit ribosomal RNA", at positions 29 to 507 of the family's 1533-position model. The record is from RNAcentral.